CGGCAAGACGGAAAGACCCCGUGAACCUUUACUAUAGCUUGACACUGAACAUUGAGCCUUGAUGUGUAGGAUAGGUGGGAGGCUUUGAAGCGUGGACGCCAGUCUGCGUGGAGCCAACCUUGAAAUACCACCCUUUAAUGUUUGAUGUUCUAACGUUGGCCCCUUACCGGGGUUGCGGACAGUGUCUGGUGGGUAGUUUGACUGGGGCGGUCUCCUCCCAAAGCGUAACGGAGGAGCACGAAGGUUAGCUAAUCCUGGUCGGACAUCAGGAGGUUAGUGCAAUGGCAUAAGCUAGCUUGACUGCGAGCGUGACGGCGCGAGCAGGUGCGAAAGCAGGUCAUAGUGAUCCGGUGGUUCUGAAUGGAAGGGCCAUCGCUCAACGGAUAAAAGGUACUCCGGGGAUAACAGGCUGAUACCGCCCAAGAGUUCAUAUCGACGGCG
This 441-nucleotide ribosomal RNA is filed under the name Klebsiella pneumoniae. RNAcentral describes it as "bacterial LSU rRNA". It matches the Rfam family "Bacterial large subunit ribosomal RNA", at positions 2073 to 2513 of the family's 2925-position model. The record is from RNAcentral. Lineage: Bacteria; Pseudomonadati; Pseudomonadota; Gammaproteobacteria; Enterobacterales; Enterobacteriaceae.